UGGCAUACGUUUACCUAUGUAACCAACCUGCACGUUCUACACAUGUAUCCCAGAACCUAAAAUAAAAUACAAUUUUUUAAAAAAGGAAAAGGUUUCUGGAUGUAGUUUUUAUGGAUGUGGGCAAUUUAUUAUAAUACUUAACUGAUUUGUCUCUGUAUUACAGUGUUCUUUACGUUUUUCUUGCCAGCACCACAGGCCUCUUUGUGGUUGCCCCUUUCUAAUGCUCCUCAAGACAACCUGCUAAUAUAAGCAAAGAGUAAAUGAGUGAGGAGAGCACCUUCUCAUGUCAGGAAGCCUAUGGAGUUAGAUCACCUGGAUUUGCUCAUUUCCUGGACAAAAACUGCCCUUUUAAUCCUCAAUUUCCUAUUAAGGACUGGUUCAACAUUAUCAUUUCCCAGGGAGAGUCUUCAACUUGAAGUGAUCACUCAAUCACUAAAAGCCUCCAACUUGAAGUGAUUGCAAAACCACUACAGCUGCACCUUUCUUAUGCAUUUCUUUUAUUGCCUUUUGGAUUGGACUUUAUGCCUUAUUUUUUUCUCCAUUUCCAAGUGUGUCUUGCCUAGAAUGUAGCACACAGUAGGAGCUCAUAAAAUAUCCACUGAAAUUGAGUUGAACAGGAGAGAUAAGGCAAGGAAACUCAGUGGAUCAAGGCCAGCUCUUGCCAAGAGUUCCAAACUUCAUCUUUGUACCUGAGCUGCAUAUUUCUAUGGCCUUGAUGAAUUCCUUGGCAGCAGAAUGUUCAACAACUGAAACAUUUAUGAAAAUUUAAGCAAAUGGGUCAAUAAAGGGAACAAAACGAAGCCCACACAGUCUACUCUUGUGCUCUUUUGCUUUUAAAGAAGCUUGUUUGUGUUAUCACUUCAACGGUUUGAUAAACAACUGUGCCUUCUCACGGAUCUGUCCCCUGUGUUUGAAGUGGUAAAAUGUGAUGAUUAGUCAUGGGUAAAAGCUGUAUGCAUCUUUCCAAGCUGCACGGCAAUACGUGUGCAGGAAUUUGAGGUAAGUAGAGAUGGGUGCAUGGAUAUCAACCUAGAAUGACAAUUUUAAUGUGUGUUCAUCUACUUGGAAUUUUCAGGUUUGUCCAUACCAGACUUUAAAAAAAAAGAACAUUCAGAUAACUUAGUGAUUUCUUUAUUUAUUUAUGACAACAGGAAAAUCUUAUUUUUAAAUACUUAUAAAAAUCCAGAGUUGCCCUCAAAGCAUUUGGUCUGGGAGGUGUGUAUCAGAGGAGUUGCCUUACUUUAUCACCCACUCCUACCCACCCCAGGCUCUUCUCACAACUAUGAGAUUCUAUGAAACACAUAAAGCCUCUGUAUUAUUUCCUUUUAUUGUCAUAUUCCUGCAGUUUACUAUAGAAGACUAUUGGACUGGAAGUCAAGAGAGCUACGCUCUAGUGCUGGCUUGGCUGUUAACUUGCUUUAAUGUUGAGUAAGCCGCACUCUGUCUUUGGGUCUCAGUUUCUUCAUCAGUGAAAUAAAGAAAUUUGUCUGUAUGAAUUCCUUGCUAUGGUGAUAGUUUUAUUUAAAUCCAGUUAAUUAUGAAAAAUUAUUUAUUCCUUUAAACUAAACUUGUAAUCACAUAAUUUUAGCAAUGACCAUGGGAUUCAGAUUUCUUAGAUGAUGUCUGAAUGUUCUUGUGAGUGUGUGUGUGUGUAUGUGUGUGUGUGUGUGUGUGUGUGUGUUGGUCAAGAAGCACAAGAUGCUUUAUUGAAUGCCUCCACUUCACCGCAGCCUUCAGUUUCUCCCCUAACUAGAAGACUAUUUCCAAGGUAUAAAGAGUUAUCCCAUUUAUCGUUGUACGUGAUCUUUACAGAAAGUGUGUAAAUAUCAUAAAGGGCAUUUCAUGUCCGUCUUACAGUGGAAGAAAAAACUGAAGCCUAUGGACUUGCCCCAAAACACACAGCUGGUAAAUGGUUAUGGGUGUUUCUGCCUAUUAGUCCCAUGCGUCUACCAAACGUUGGGUUAACUUUUGACUGCUAGAAAACUGGUGAUUAGAGAACAUGACCAAUACAUGGAAUUUCCGCUGAAAGCCCCACAAAUAUUUUGUCUUUAAUAAUUGAUAUCUUUGAAUCCUGUUUACCUAAUCCAGAAUCAAUGGUAAAUGGGAUAUAAUCUCUAGUUUCCCAACUGUUCACCUGAUCUCCACUUUUCUCCCCUGCAAAACAUUAUUUUACUGUACUACUAGAGAUGUUUUUUCUAAAGCACAAAAACAAUCACAUCACUCUCUUUUAAUGUUUUCCUGCUGUCUAACUUCAAAGCUCUGCAGGAUAAUCUAAAUUCCUUUACUUGGUAUGUAAAAACAUUCAUAACCUGGUCUUUGUCUUCCUCAACAGUUCCCUCUCUUUCCAUGCCUUCCAUUUAUUCAUUGAAAACCUAUUUUCGUACUUACGAUAUUCCAGUUUCCAAGCUAGGAUAGACAUGAAAUCUGACAAAUAAGAUAGAUCUAGGUGAUUCCCUGAGAUUACCAUCUACAAUCCAGCUGAGCCAGAUGUCAUGGAUUUGGUACUGCUCAGCCCAGAUCGCUCUCCCAUUUUAUCUAUCUUCACUGUACCUGGAAAACAUCUACUCACCUUUGCAAUUCAAUUUCUGUCCCCUUCAUGAAGCCUUUCCUUGAGUCUCGAGGAGAUUCAAACUAUCCUUCGGGUCCCCAUUAUACUUUGUAUAUAUGUCUAUGAUAACAAAAAUAAUGCUUUAACCAUUCUUAUUGAUGUACUAGACUGCAGACUCUUUGAAGGUAAGGGACUCUAUAAACAUUUAUUCAGUGCUUUAACUGUUUGUGAGUCCAAGUACUUUGCAAUCAACAAACCAAGAACACUGGUCUAUUUAUUGUGCUCAUAUUAUAUGUAGAAAGGCUGAUCUGCCCGUAGAUCUAUCCCAAUGGAUACAUGUACAUCAUAUCCUGGCCUUUUUAUUGUAUGGCAAUUUAUAUUAUUCACAACAUUAUUAUUAUUAUUUCAAAAAUACUAUUGUUGUUAAAGAUUGUCCACGUGUGAUGAUUACUCUAAAACAUUUGGUCUCAGAAGAUCUAUAUACUUCAAAAUUAUUGAAGAUUUUAAUGUGCUUUUAUUUGAUUUAUAUUUAUUAAUACCUACCUUAUUAAAAAUUAAAACUGAGGAAUGCAAAAAUAGUUAUUUACUAAAAAUAAGUAACUAAAAUUAUUACAUGCUACUAUAAGCAAUAUAUUUUUAUUAAAAUAACUAUAUUUUUGAAAACAAAAAAUUAGUGUGAAGAAUAGCAUUAUUUUAUAUUUUAUAAGUCUCUUUUAAUGUCUGCCUUAAUAAAAGACAGCUGGAUUGUCAAUCUACUUCUGCAUUCAAUAUAUGGCAAAUAUUGUUUUGGUUGAGGUAUACUAAAAAAUCCAGCCUCGUAUGGGAUAUAGUUGGAAAAUGGAGGAAUAUUUUAAUAGUUCUUUUAAAUAAUUGUGGAUAUUUUUCUUAACACUACAUCAAAACUCAGCCAGUGAUUGUUUCUUAAAGAUUAGAGACAAAAGGGAAUUCAAAGUCAUAUCAAUUAACUCUUUAUGCUCUUUCACAUUAGCUACCUUGUAAUUUGAAUGGAUGUUUUGCUGAUGGAAUAUGCUUUAAUAUCAUAUAUUGAUCAUUUGAAAAAUAUUGGUUCACUGAGUCAUGCAGCUCUUUCGUAUGUUGACACAGUUUAUUACACAAUGUCAUCAUCUGUCAUGGAGCCUCUGGAAAACACAUUAUCAUAAGAAAAUGAUAAUGAAAAAGAUAAACCAUGGUCCUGAUUUUGCUGGAUUUUCAGGAUUAAUGCACUAAAAAUCUUACUGAACGCCAGAUGAGGUUUCUGGAUAAUUUGUUUUUCUUCUUUGCGCUUUUCUGUGUUUUCUAGUUCUUCUCUACUGGAUUCAUUUGGUUGACACAAAAUGAAAUAUUAAGGUAUAUUACAACGAGGACCACAUUGCUUAACUUCAUAAUUCCAACCACUUCCUCUUCCACGUAUCUUGAGAAAGGUAGGAGCAUUUUUACUCUUCACAUCCAUACACUCACAAUCAGCUUUAUCACUUACUAGUGGUAGGAUUGGAGAAGCUUAUGUGUACUAUGUCCUUCAGGGGCUUCUUAUCUAACAUGGGGAUACUAUUACCUGCCUGUCUGUCUAAUGGGAUUAUAUAAUGCAUGUGAAAAUGCUAGACUAAUUGCAAACACAGAACAAACGGAUGUUGUCACCAUUAUUGUCAGAUCUCUAUGUAUGUGCAAAAGUGAAAUCCUUGGAGACAAGCUGGGAGAUUUUUUUUUUUUCUUUAGCAUCUCUUCUGCCAAAAAUAUAUAUUGAUUGCAGCUGGAAGGAAACCGUUCUGAGAGAGAAAAUAAUGUUGAAUAGAAAUCAGAGCCUGUUUGAUAUUUGACAGCUUGGACAUGUUUCUUCAUGUUUAAUGAUAAUAAUAAUUUGACUUUUAAGUGACUUCUCUGACAUGAGAGCCCCCUAAAUCAGGAAAGCUAUAAACUGAUGCAAAGCUACCCCCAGAGAGAUGACAUGGAAGGGUAAAUGGGAUUGACCAGUGUGUUUGGCUGAGGGUACUCAUCUGCCUAAGAUUUUAUGGGCUUCACAGGAGGCCUGUUCUGUGGCAUGUGAAUGACCUGAGAACAAGUCACCCACCAGCCUUGGACCCCAUUUAUUGAGAUUCUACUAUGUGCUACCCUCUGGAGUAGGUGCUUUGACAAAGUUAUUACAUUUGACCUUCAGAACAAUUCUGCGAAGAGAGUACUAUUGUACCAUUAAUGUCUGUAGGAAAAUUGAUACUCAAAUAUUCCCUAGACUACAAUUAUCAUCAGAUCUUCUAAUUCUAAAUCUGGUACUCUUUUCAUUUUAUAGACAACUGCCUGACAACCACAUAAAACUGUAUUAGUAACUACGCAUUUACAAAGCACUUCUACACAAAUUACCUUACUUGAUUGUUACUUUUUCUGUCUGCAAGUUUUCCAAGUCAUGCUAGUGUGUUAUUUCUGUCUCAGUUCUGGUGGCCUACCUAAAAAGAACAUUGCAUGAUCAUGAACCAGAAUUCUGGUAUUGUCUCCUUCACCAGUUAGCUUUGUUACUUAAAGCCCUAAAAGAGAAGGGAAUUGCCUCUACUGUAGCUAUUUGGUAGAAGAAUCCAGAGGAGAACCCAGGCUUCUUGAGAACCAGGUCUCCCAACGAUCUUUGGAGAUAAACAGUACUAAACAUACAAGUAUUUGUGCAUUUGUUGCGAUCAUUAUUUAAUUAUUUAAAAAGUAUAAUUAUGAUCUAUUCCUUCUGGUAAUCAAUAAGACUCUGACUCAAAAUGAAAUAAGGGAAAAUGUUGGUAGAAAAAGACUUAGCAUAAAGGCUGGGUCCUUAUUGAUAGUGAAAAUGAUACUUAGAGGAGAAGAAGCUGUUUAAAGCUUGCAUUAGUUGUAGAAACCCCAGCUUGAGGCACUGAAUCUGUAAAAACUGGAGACAGAGUUUGGGCUGUAUUUAAAAGAGUCUAUCAAGGGCUCCUCUUUGUAGAGGAUCCAAGUCAGACCUCCUAGCCUAUGGAAAUCAGCUUGUCAGAGCAAAUGAAUGUAUUGGAGACUGACCCUGACCUAGGUAGCUUUCAAGUCAUCCCUGAGAAAGAGCAUUUUAGAGGUUGAAUUGAUGAGAUGGCUAAUAUGGUUAUUGAAGUUAUUGGAGGCUAUUUAUUUGGAUUUUGCAAUGAUUCAGAUUUAUGAAAAUGAAUCUGUAAUGAAAAUGAAUGGUGGAAAUAAGCUAAUACAGGAAGUGUUCAGCUACCAAAGCAAACCUGCCUUUUCAAUAAGACAAGGAUAUUACCUCUGGAGGAUGAAUAACAUAUCAUUUGAGAUAUUUUAUUAAAAGUUAACUGUGACUCUCUUUUGAAGGCAGUCGCUAUUACUCCAGGGAGAAUGACCUUGAGGCUACUUCCUUCUUUCUCUUACCUUUCCUUUUCUUUUCUUUCACCAUUUCUUUUGGACAUACGCUGGUGAAUGAAGACUGUGGAAUAUGGAGUGAGGAAUAAGGAAGCCCACUCAGGCUGAGUCAGAUGCAGUAGGAGAUCAGUGAAAGGGAUUUUUCAUUAGGGAGUGGGAUGUGUUGAUGUGAUAAAGCUUCUUGAAGUAGAAUUUUAUGGCAAGCGUGAUAUUGUAACUUGCCCAUAUUUAUGCAGCUUUUAAGUAGUAAAGCUACGAUUUGAACUGGGUCUGUUUGUCUUGAAUGCAGAGGCCCCAGGGAAUUUACCAGGUCUGGCUCUCAUUGGUUUUGGAUAGCAGAAGGUUGAACCUUAACAUGUCAGUCAUUUUAUUUGCUAGAUUGAUUACAUUUUGUCUGGAACAUGGUAAUCUCAGACUCUAGUCAGUCUUCAGCUUAGGAAAUAUUUUCUUGAUUAUUAUUUCUAUUCCACUACUUAAGAUUUGUUCUUAAGGAUAAAAAUUACUUGUAAAGAUAAAUCUCCAGUAUUUACUAUUUUUAUUAUCUUCCCUUUCAUAUCUUUCACCUUUUCUGAUUCUUGGGAGAAUUUCCUCUUUACAUCAAUGAUUUAAUUUUUACUGAGACCGAGUCUCACUCUGUCACCCAGGCUGGAGUGCAGUGGUGAGAUCUCAGCUCACUGCAACCUCUGCCACCCAGUUC
This 6599-nucleotide long non-coding RNA is filed under the name Homo sapiens (human). RNAcentral's name for it is "HSALNT0317121". The record is from RNAcentral. Lineage: Eukaryota; Metazoa; Chordata; Mammalia; Primates; Hominidae.